RNAcentral lists this ribosomal RNA (472 nucleotides) under Aquipseudomonas alcaligenes. Its description in RNAcentral is "bacterial SSU rRNA". It matches the Rfam family "Bacterial small subunit ribosomal RNA", at positions 337 to 801 of the family's 1533-position model. Lineage: Bacteria; Pseudomonadati; Pseudomonadota; Gammaproteobacteria; Pseudomonadales; Pseudomonadaceae. The record is from RNAcentral.
UCCUACGGGAGGCAGCAGUGGGGAAUAUUGGACAAUGGGCGAAAGCCUGAUCCAGCCAUGCCGCGUGUGUGAAGAAGGUCUUCGGAUUGUAAAGCACUUUAAGUUGGGAGGAAGGGCAGUAAGUUAAUACCUUGCUGUUUUGACGUUACCAACAGAAUAAGCACCGGCUAACUUCGUGCCAGCAGCCGCGGUAAUACGAAGGGUGCAAGCGUUAAUCGGAAUUACUGGGCGUAAAGCGCGCGUAGGUGGUUCAGCAAGUUGGAGGUGAAAUCCCCGGGCUCAACCUGGGAACUGCCUCCAAAACUACUGAGCUAGAGUACGGUAGAGGGUAGUGGAAUUUCCUGUGUAGCGGUGAAAUGCGUAGAUAUAGGAAGGAACACCAGUGGCGAAGGCGACUACCUGGACUGAUACUGACACUGAGGUGCGAAAGCGUGGGGASCAAACAGGAUUAGAUACCCUGGUAGUCCACGCC